Molecule: long non-coding RNA, 1245 nt
Organism: Solenopsis invicta (red fire ant)
Lineage: Eukaryota; Metazoa; Arthropoda; Insecta; Hymenoptera; Formicidae
Exons: 3
Source: RefSeq, a predicted model, not a curated record
GUGAAAAUCACUCGGAGCAGUGAGGCUACAUCAAAAUUAAAAUUGUCCCGUCCCGUCUUACGUUAAUCUUUGGAAAUUGCAUUUUCGACGUACAGUAUAAAAGAUUACAUAAGUAUUGAGUGAUGUUAUCCGAGAAAAAGGAUUCCAUUUGUGCGUGUAAACGUCCUGCCUCAAUUGGCACGUGCAUUACCGUCUAUUUAUUUUCCAUGUGCAAUUCGAUAGCUUUCGGCUUUAUAGAGCGAAUGUAUUGAACCUUCGUUUAUUCAAGAAGGAAAACUCGGCGCGGCGUGGCGCCUUUCCGACGACCUUUUUAGAAGUGCGACAAGAAAGACAAGCGAGAUGGAUGCGAUGACCCAAUUACGCCAGUGAAAGUAACACAUUGGUCAGUUAUGAUCUACGCCGCCGCCGCCGCCGCCACUGCCACCAUCGUGUUCACCCACACACGCGCGUGCACGCGUACGCGGGGAAUUACACCGCGCCGCGUCUUAAGUACUGAUUGAUAGCGGCGACUGAUAGCGAAAUUUAUCACUACAGCAACGAUUGCAGUAAUUACGAAUUAUGAAAGUGAACUUAAAAAAAUUAUUUUAUGGUGUAUGUUUAAUCUGAUAUUUUUUAAAUGAUAAAAAUUUAAGUUUUAAUAGAUAUUAUUACCUAUAUAUAAUAUAGAAUAUUUACACCAUUCACUAAGCCGACAUCACCGUUAUAGAAGAAGAAUGAAAAAGAAAAUUAUUUAUUGAGAAAUAACCUCGAUUUAUAAAAAUUUUCAAAUUUUUGAAAUAAUCCAUCAUGAGAUUAUACCUUCUGUUGAAAAAGAAAGUUAUGCGAGAACUUUAUAAAACGCUUUAUAAAACGCAGAUGUAAAAACAAGAAGCAAUUACACAGGAUUUUGGUAUAAAAAAACAUCAAAACAAGAGUAGUCAUUUCCUAUAGCUUCUUGGAUGCUGAAUACGAAUCUAUUGUUCAGAUUGCUCCAUUACGUUAUAAUUUUUUCUUUGUCAUUAAAAUUACAAAAAAUUGCUAUUUUUAGAUAUUUUCUUAUAUUAUAAUUAUGAUCCAGAGAAAAGUUUCAUUUCUAGUCAAAAAUAUUUAUUCAAGUCAAAGAAUUGUGCACUGCUAUAUAGUUAAAGAUAGGUUUGUUUGAUUUGAAAAAAAUCUUUCGGUUGUUCCUUUUAUUAGAAUUAAAGUAAUAAUUUGGUUGUACUACGCAAUUUUUUUCAAUAAAAGAAAUAUAUUUUUAAAACCAGA